GACGAACGCUGGCGGCGUGCCUAAUACAUGCAAGUCGAACGCAGUGGGGACGGGUGAGUAACACGUGGGUAACCUCCCAUCAGAGGGGAUUACACUUGGAAACAGGUGCUAAACCGAUACUGAUGGAUGGACCCGCGAUGCAUUAGCUAGUUGGUGAGGUAACGGCUCACCCAGGCCACGAUGCAUAGGCGAUCGGAUAGGGGGAUCGGCCACACUGGGACUGAGAAACGGCCCAGACUCCUACGGGAGGCAGCAGUAGGGAAUUUUCGGCAAUGGACGAAAGUCUGACCGAGCAACGCCGCGGGGGUGAAGAAGGUUUUCGGGUCGUAAAACUCUGUUGUGAGGGAAGCGGUAUCUAACCAGAAAGCACCGGCUAACUACGUGCCAGCAGCCGCGGUAAUAC
This 403-nucleotide ribosomal RNA is filed under the name uncultured bacterium. RNAcentral's name for it is "partial 16S ribosomal RNA". It matches the Rfam family "Bacterial small subunit ribosomal RNA", at positions 28 to 526 of the family's 1533-position model. The record is from RNAcentral.